This 74-nucleotide transfer RNA is filed under the name Lentisphaerota bacterium. Its description in RNAcentral is "Lentisphaerae bacterium (feces metagenome) tRNA-Gln". It matches the Rfam family "tRNA". From Rfam's summary of the family: Transfer RNA (tRNA) molecules are approximately 80 nucleotides in length. Their secondary structure includes four short double-helical elements and three loops (D, anti-codon, and T loops). Lineage: Bacteria; Pseudomonadati; Lentisphaerota. The record is from RNAcentral.
AACCCUAUGGUGUAAUGGUAGCACAAAUGAUUUUGGUUCAUUUAGUCGAGGUUCGAAUCCUUGUGGGGUUGCCA